Molecule: long non-coding RNA, 492 nt
Filed under: Triticum aestivum (bread wheat)
Lineage: Eukaryota; Viridiplantae; Streptophyta; Magnoliopsida; Poales; Poaceae
Description: long non-coding RNA (TAES_LNC015358)
Source: RNAcentral
AUGAUCAAUAAAUGCCAUUUUGUCAUGAUUCAUGCAUCAAGCAUAUUCUGCCCAUUCCUACUCAUUUUAGACUAAUUAUGUUCUUUAGCUAGAACAAUUCUAAAUUGUUGAUAGCAAUAGCAAAGGAAAGAACAUAGGCAAUAAGAGUUAUUCGAUCUUGCAUACCAGAGCCGUAGGAAAGAAGCCAAUCUUCAUAGGUUUAGCUCAUGCGAGAGACAGAUUAUAUGAAAUCUGAAGAAAAAAAAAGAGAAGGAAAGGGAGCAGGCAUAACGGAAGUGUCUGGCUGAAAUAAAAAAAAGAAACAAAACGCAUGGAAUGCAGAACUAAACUCACUGUAAUAAAGAGAAAAAAGAUGAAUAGACAACAAUAAUUUGUGAGUAGUCGCACCUGCCCGCCCCCCAUGAUCGCAUAGGUGGCUUUUACUGUUUUUUAAUUGGGUUUGAUGCACACCCCUUGAGAAAUUCGUACAGAGAAACUCCAAUGAACGAGCAC